RNAcentral lists this ribosomal RNA (252 nucleotides) under uncultured bacterium. RNAcentral describes it as "partial 16S ribosomal RNA". It matches the Rfam family "Bacterial small subunit ribosomal RNA", at positions 524 to 776 of the family's 1533-position model. The record is from RNAcentral.
UACGGAGGAUCCGAGCGUUAUCCGGAUUUAUUGGGUUUAAAGGGUGCGUAGGCGGCCUAUUAAGUCAGGGGUGAAAGACGGUAGCUUAACUAUCGCAGUGCCUUUGAUACUGAUGGGCUUGAAUGUAGUUGAGGUAGGCGGAAUGUGACAAGUAGCGGUGAAAUGCAUAGAUAUGUCACAGAACACCAAUUGCGAAGCAGCUUACUAAAGUAUGAUUGACGCUGAGGCACGAAAGCGUGGGGAGCAAACAGG